This is an RNA transcript of Cinclus cinclus, 5222 nucleotides long. It is a transcript of the gene named TOP1 binding arginine/serine rich protein, E3 ubiquitin ligase, with no coding region annotated. The record is from RefSeq and is a predicted model, not a curated record. NCBI's taxonomy places the organism in Eukaryota, Metazoa, Chordata, Aves, Passeriformes, Cinclidae. The transcript has 5 exons.
AUGGCGGACCCGUCCCGGCGCCUGGGGGAGAGCUCCCGCCGCCGCCGCCCGCCAGGGGAGGAGCGGCGGGAGCCGCCCGGCACCGGGCGCUGCCGGACGCGCCACAGGCUGAAGUCGGCCGCGGCCCUGGCCCGCGCGGGAAGCGAGGGCCCGGCGGUGAACAUGACCUCAGAUAAGGAGUUUGCAGAAGAUAGCAAUUUUUCACCAAAAGCCAGCACCAGUAAGCUGCCGACAGAUGCAUCUCCCGACUCCAAGUGCCCCAUCUGCCUGGAUAGAUUUGACAACGUUGCAUAUCUAGAUCGCUGCUUGCAUAGGUUCUGCUUCCGCUGUGUCCAAGAAUGGUCAAAAAACAAAGCAGAAUGCCCGCUCUGCAAGCAGCCCUUUUUUUCCAUUUUCCACACGAUUCGUGCUGAAGAUGACUUCAAGGAGUACAUACUCAGCCCUUUAGAAACCAGCUCUUUUGCCAGCCCUGAUGGCCGGAGAUUUCGUUAUCGCACCACCUUAACCAGGGAACGGCGCGCGCGCAGUUCCCCUUCCCGAAGGAUGCUGUCCUCUCCAGAUAACGGGAUGUUGUUUGAAGGGCUGUCAAGCGAGCCAACGCGACACAGGCACAGAGAGAUUCAGCAGAUGAUCAGGAGGCUGGCCUCGAGGAGAAAGGCGAGCGCAGAGGGCAGAUCUCUGCGACAGAUCCAGGAGGAGGACAUGAUCAACUUCCGCAGGGCUCUGUACCGCACUGGCGUGCGCAUCCGCAGCAUUCAGGACGGUGGCCGAUACCGAGAGAUUUCGGCAGAGUUCUUCCGCCGCAACCCUGCUUGCCUUCACCGCUUGGUUCCUUGGUUGAAGCGGGAGCUUACAGUCCUGUUUGGUGCCCAUGGAUCUUUGAUCAAUAUCGUGCAGCACAUCAUCAUGAGUAACGUAACUAGAUACGAUCUGGAAAGUCAGGCCUUUGCUGAUGAUAUAAAGCCAUUUCUGCUGAAUCGGACAGAGCACUUCCUACAUGAAUUCAUCAGUUUUGCUCGUUGUCCUUUUAACUUAGAAGCGUAUGAUCAGCACGCCAAUUAUGACUGUCCUGCACCAUCAUAUGAGGAAGGAAGCCACUCAGACUCAUCAAUUAUUACAAUAUCUCCAGACGUGGCAUACCCACAAGGGCCGGAUAAUAGCUUGUCUGUGCCUGGCCUUGGUCAGGCUCCCUGGGAUGAUGAAACUCCAGGGCCUUCCUAUUCCAUUUCAGAAGAGGUUCGUGCAACCAUAGCUUCUCCUCUGGAGUCAUCAGAAAGUUCUGAUGAGGACUCUGUUACAGGGAGUAGAAGAGCCCAACUGCCAACUGAGUUACAGGCUAAUGCUGACUCAAACGACAGUGGCUCUUCCUCAGACAAUUGUGUCAUUGUUGGGUAUGUGAAGCCAUUAGCUGAGAGGACACCAGAAGUGGUUGAGCUGUCCUCUGACUCUGAGGAUUCCAUUAAAGAGGAGAGAAAGGAAGAUGUCAAGAAGCAGCGACCGGUCCAGCAUCACAGCUGGAGUGACAGUGAACCAAGCAGGAGCUUCUCACCACAUUCCCCAACAUAUAGGGAGGAUGUAGGAAUUUGUAGAAGCUGUUUAUCUCCUGCAGUUGAGAAGAUGGAAUCAAAAGAGGAUGAGAAGAACAAAUGUAAAAGAAAAGAUCUGCCUCCACAGGACUUGAGUUGGAGCCCCUCUCCAGGGAGUGACACAGUAUGCUCCCCUUGGAAUCACCGAUUGUCUAAAAAGGGAAGGUCCAGAAGCCCACAGUCCUGUUCACGGGACAGUCGAAGCAGUCAUGGCCAUCGGUCUAGGAGGGAGCACCAUAGCAAAAGCCAACUUAAAAGGAGACGAUCGAGAAGCAGAGAUAGUAGCAAACAUAGGAGGAAAAGAAGCAGCAGAAGGUCAAGGGCUCAUGACAGCAGAACCUCUCUGAAAAGCCAGAAGGGCUCUCUAAGUGGUGAGAGCACUCCAUCCAGAGAAGUGAGCAGAUCACGUUCACGUAGCAAAGGCCACAGUAAAAGGAGAUCAAGAAGUAGAGACAGUGAUCGCUAUUAUGUAAGAGACAGUUACCAAAGUAGACACCAGUGGGGUUCUGCAUUCUGUAGUAGAAAGAUGUUUGGUGACAGCUAUGAAUCGUCUAGCAGAAGGAGGACCCGGUCUAACACUCUUUACUCAAGGCAAUCUGCUAGUCCAGAGUACAGGAUACGAUCAUUUAUUGAGAGGACAGAUCUGCAUAGCCAGAGGGGACUCCAUGAGAGACACUAUUACUGUUAUGAAAGAUGCAGGUCAAGGAGUCGGUCAAGCAACAGAUCAAGGACUCCUUCUGGAGGAACUGACAGAAUGAAAAGUGAAAAGCCUGGUGGAAAAAGGAAGUACAAAACUCGCCACCUGGAGAAUGCAUUCAUGGAGAGCACAAGCCUAGAAAGAGAAAAUGAUUCCAAGAAAACUUCCGCAAAAUUUAGUGACUGCUGUAGAAAUGAGGAUAGCCUGUCAGACAAUCAUGCAAGCAGUGAGACAAAGCGUAAGAAAAGGAAGAAGAAAAUGAGGAGUCCAAGUGUGGAGAUAGUCUACGAAGGAAAAGCAACAGACACAAUGAGGCAUCUUAAAAAGAAAAAGAAAAAGCAUAAGAAGAAACACCGGAAACAUCACAUGAGUAACUCAGUGCAUUCUUCUCCAGUGGUGAUUACGAUUGAUAGUGAUAGUAGCAAGGAGCCAGAAAGUACUGAAUGGGACAGCAGUAUUACAUGGACAGGGGCAACUCAGAUAAAUGAGAGGGAAAAUGAGUCUCCAGCUUCUUUUCUGAGGAGGACAGGAUGUGAAGAAACUAGAGGAGCAGACAACAAGUGUGUUAUCCCUGCCACAAAGGAAAACUUAGAUGGUGGUGUUGGAAAUGCUGAUGUCAAACUUCAAGAAACAAUAGCUGAUCAGAGUGCUACCACAGUGAAUACUCACAAUAACACCUCUCACACAGAAACUGUAACCAGUUAUGUUCAGGAAGCACCAGCAGCGCCUUCCAGUCAACUGCCUUGCCCCAGGACUUCCUUCUUAGAGUGUCCAGAGGGAGAGCCAUUGAUACUAAGACUGCCAAAGAGACUUGUUGACAGAUCCUCGUGGUUUGAUUUCCCUGAAGAAAAAAUGUAGUAGGCUUUGCUUGGAACUCUUGUUAAAACUGAAUUUUUUUUUAAACUCCUUUUCUUUUUUUUUUUUUUUUUCCUUGUGAACUAAAAUGUCUGAUAGGUUUUCUGUCUGUUGAAAAGAUGUCUAGGAAAUGUAUAAAACUUUUCACAGUGUAUGCACUUUUUAGUCAAAGAGGAUAGAAUAUUGCUAGUAUGUAAUUUUAAAGGCUUGUUAGAGGACAGUUUGUAAGUUUUAAUUUCAUAAAGCCAUCUACAGAAUAUUUCAAAGUUUUGUGUAAACCAAACAACAGAAAAGGAGCCUGAAACAGGAGCCAGGAAAUGCAUUUUAUGGGGAUUGCUCUUCUCAGACAAGGGAAACUUUUUUAGUUCAUAAAAAGUGAUUCAGUCUGAAUUCCUGCAUCAUUUCAGUCUCUUUGGAUUAAGCUGAUCUCUGCUGAAAAGUAGUCAGUGAUUUCUACAGAAAUUCUCAAAGAACUUUGAGUGAUUUUAAGGUGUGCAGUACUUCUGAAACAGGUUGCUCCAGCUGCCAGGAAACCUGCUCCUGUGUGUGCUCCUAAGCACAGGCUUCAGCUCCUGAUAGGAGCCUGUUCCUGUGUGGGAUGUCCAUGGGCUGUAGCUUCCAGGAGGGCAUCGCUACCUGCUCUGGAGUGGGGGUUUUCCACAGACUACAGGAGAGGAGAGACAAAUCAGGAUAGGCCUCUCCAAGCCUUCAAAGGGAGUGUUCAGACUGUGCUCUCAAGAACAUGCUGUGUCUCUUCAGGUGUCCUGUGCAGGGCCAGAAGUUGGGCUUGAUGAUCCUGGUGUGUCCCUUCCAACUCAAGAUAUUGUAUGAUACUAUGACUCCAAACCCACACCUCACAGCACAGGAAAUGAGAGCAGUGAUCUGAUUUCCUGGCCAAGCCCUGACAGACUGCCUUCAGGAGGAGAGGCUGGGAAACUGUUUUUUAACAGUGACUCUGGGUCAUCAUUUUCAGCCCAACCCCAAGUCAAGCUAUCAAUCAACCUGUACUGAAUCAGGAAGACAUCUGCAUCUCAACUUUUCUGCAUGCAAGCAAGUUCAUGUAUUUUCUAAGGCUGUGUGGAUGAUAAAGCUAUGGCUUUGCCUCUUCCCCCCGAGAUUGCAACACUACCUACAUUAUAGCUUUAAGGAAAUUUUAAUUAUUUUGAAAAUUGUGUUUCUAGUUCUGAUCAGUCUUAAAAAUGUAGCCAAGCAAGAGUAUCAUCUGUUAAAACAAAAGUCAGUCAACCAGCCUUUGCUGCUCAGCUUUUGCUACCAAUCUGUUAUGCCUGUCACAACAAGUUGACAGAUUGUCACAAUAAAUGGCACAAGUUUAGAAUGUUGUUUUGUUUAGCCUUCAUAUAAGUACUUUGAAACACAUUUUAGUAGACGAGUAUAAUUAAAGUAUAGCAAAUGAAUUCUGAGAGAGGGGAAUAAGUUACAUAGUAGUUUAAAAUUGUUAGAAAGGUAUUUUCUAUUAUUUUUUGUUUAUCUGAGGGGACUGCAAAUUGCCACUAGUGGUUGUGAAUACUGAGGACAUAAAUCUUGAUAAAGAAUUUAUUUCCUGAAAGCAAACUAGGAAUGUGAAUAUUUCAUUUACUUACUCAAAUUACUUAACUGAUAAUCACGACUCAUAAGCAAGCUCAGAUAGUGCAGCCUGCCCAAUAUUCACCCCAUAUGAGGAAGAAAACCUGGUGUCUGUUCCAAAAAAUUAAAAUGCCCAGCCAUUGGUAUAUUUUCAUUGGGUAUUCCUUUUCUGUCUGAUUUUCCACAGAGAUCUGGUGUUUUUCUUUUCCUUCUUCUUUUGCAUCCCGGAGUUAGUCUCUGGACAGAGAUGUAAUUUUGGUUUCAGUUCUCAUUCCUGAUGCAUCAAUAGCCCUUUAAAAGUUCUGUUACCAUGUGUCCAAUAGAGUCUGUAUGUGGGCUCUACUGCCAUCCUCUGUGAUUUUUACUAAUUUGGUAUUGUUAAAACCAAAACUUUUUGCGUUCAUUCUGCUCUAAGACCACCUUCCUGUCUGUCCCCAAUAAGAGUGUUUGAGAUUGGUCAAAAAAUCACCAGCAAGGAUAUGAGCAAAAGUCAGAUUUAA